GCGCACCAGGCGCGGAAACUCCGCAAUGCGCGAAAGCGUGACGGGGGAACCCCAAGUGCCGCUGUACUUUGUACGGCGGCUUUUCGAGAGCGUAAGAAGCUCUCGGAAUAAGGGCUGGGCAAGACUGGUGCCAGCCGCCGCGGUAAUACCAGCAGCCCAAGUGGUGGUCACGAUUAUUGGGCCUAAAGCGCUCGUAGCCGGGUUGAUGUGUCCCUUGUGAAAUCGGGCGGCUCAACCAUUCGGCUUGCAAGGGAUACUAUCAGCCUUGGGGUCGGGAGAGGUCGAGGGUACUCCGGGGGUAGCGGUGAAAUGCUGUAAUCCUUGGGGGACCACCAGUGGCGAAGGCGCUCGGCGAGAACGGACCUGACGGUGAGGGGCGAAGGCUAGGGGAGCGAACGGGAUUAGAUACCCCGGGUAGUCC
RNAcentral lists this ribosomal RNA (421 nucleotides) under uncultured Methanobacteriales archaeon. RNAcentral's name for it is "partial 16S ribosomal RNA". It matches the Rfam family "Archaeal small subunit ribosomal RNA", at positions 330 to 747 of the family's 1478-position model. Lineage: Archaea; Methanobacteriati; Methanobacteriota; Methanobacteria; Methanobacteriales. The record is from RNAcentral.